GAUGAACGCUGGCGGCGUGCUUAACACAUGCAAGUCGAACGAAGCACUUUAUUUGAUUUCCUUCGGGACUGAUUAUUUUGUGACUGAGUGGCGGACGGGUGAGUAACGCGUGGGUAACCUGCCUUGUACAGGGGGAUAACAGUUGGAAACGGCUGCUAAUACCGCAUAAGCGCACAGCAUCGCAUGAUGCAGUGUGAAAAACUCCGGUGGUAUAAGAUGGACCCGCGUUGGAUUAGCUAGUUGGUGAGGUAACGGCCCACCAAGGCGACGAUCCAUAGCCGACCUGAUAGGGUGAACGGAAAAAUUGGGACUGAGACACGGCCCAAACUCGUACGGGAGGCAGCAGUGGGGAAUAUUGAACAAUGGGCGAAAGCCUGAUGCAGCGAAGCCGCGUGAGCGAAGAAGUAUUUCGGUAUGUAAAGCUCUAUCAGCAGGGAAGAUAAUGACGUUACCUGACUAAGAAGCACCGGCUAAAUACGU
Molecule: ribosomal RNA, 480 nt
Filed under: uncultured bacterium
Lineage: Bacteria
Description: partial 16S ribosomal RNA
Rfam family: Bacterial small subunit ribosomal RNA
Source: RNAcentral